GGAAGAGAAUUAGCAUUUCUUAAUGCAUCGGUCUGUACACAGCAAUGUUCUGCCAUGGAAGGCAGAACAAAUCCUAACGUGCCAUGGAUGGUACGUUUAGGAUGGUUGCGUCAUCCAGAUCACAUAUUAAAUCAGAUGCAUUUAGAAAUACUUAUUCUCGGA
RNAcentral lists this non-coding RNA (162 nucleotides) under human gut metagenome. The record is from RNAcentral.